CCUACGGGGGGCGGCAGUGAGGAAUAUUGGUCAAUGGGCGCGAGCCUGAACCAGCCAAGUCGCGUGAGGGAAGACGGUCCUAUGGAUUGUAAACCUCUUUUGUCGGGGAGCAAAAGACGCCACGCGUGGCGUUCCGAGAGUACCCGAAGAAAAAGCAUCGGCUAACUCCGUGCCGGCAGCCGCGGUAAUCCGGAGGAAGCGAGCGUUAUCCGGAUUUAUUGGGCUUAAAGGGUGCGCAGGCGGAAGAUUAAGUCAGCGGUAAAAGUGAGAGGCUCAACCUCUUCGAGCCGUUGAAACUGGUUUACUUGAGUGAGCGAGAAGUAUGUGGAAUGCGUGGUGUAGCGGUGAAAUGCAUAGAUAUCACGCAGAACUCCGAUUUCGAAGGCAGCAUACCGGCGCUCAACUGACGCUCAUGCACGAAAGUGUGGGUAUCGAACAGGAUUAGAUACCCGAGUAGUC
This 459-nucleotide ribosomal RNA is filed under the name uncultured bacterium. RNAcentral's name for it is "partial 16S ribosomal RNA". It matches the Rfam family "Bacterial small subunit ribosomal RNA", at positions 338 to 795 of the family's 1533-position model. The record is from RNAcentral.